RNAcentral lists this transfer RNA (70 nucleotides) under Dipodomys ordii (Ord's kangaroo rat). It matches the Rfam family "tRNA". Rfam says of the family: Transfer RNA (tRNA) molecules are approximately 80 nucleotides in length. Their secondary structure includes four short double-helical elements and three loops (D, anti-codon, and T loops). The record is from Rfam by way of RNAcentral. Lineage: Eukaryota; Metazoa; Chordata; Mammalia; Rodentia; Heteromyidae.
GGGAAGGUGGCUCAGUGGUAGAGUACUUGCCUUGCAUGCAUGAGGCCCUGGGUUCGAUUCCUCAGUUCCA